GUGCUUUGGGCAUCGAACUGCUUGUGCUCGGCUACCUCUCAGUGUUUUGCUAUGAGGACCAUGUGUCUUUUCAGCCUCCUAGGUUCUUGUAUUGCAUACCUAAUGUGACGGAAUUAGUUGCCAACGGAGCCCCUUUCCUCCUCGUGCCCUUCAUGGGUGCAAGGAGGACAUCAAAGUAGCACACGCGUCCCCGGCCGCCAUCAACUUGUUGUGUGGUGACAGCCAU
This 226-nucleotide unclassified non-coding RNA is filed under the name Sageretia wrightii. Its description in RNAcentral is "partial contains external transcribed spacer and 18S ribosomal RNA". Lineage: Eukaryota; Viridiplantae; Streptophyta; Magnoliopsida; Rosales; Rhamnaceae. The record is from RNAcentral.